UUCCGGUUGAUCCCGCCGGACCUGACUGCUAUCGGAUUGAUACUAAGCCAUGCUAGUCUUUGUAGUAAUACAAGGCAUACGGCUCAGUAACGCGUAGUCAACCUACCCUAUGGACGGGGAUAAUCUCGGGAAACUGAGCAUAAUACCCGGCAGACCACUUAUCCUGGAAUGGUUAGUGGUUAAAAUGAUUCGUCGCCAUAGGAUGGGACUGCGGCCUAUCAGCUUGUUGGUGAGGUAAUGGCCCACCAAGGCGAUUACAGGUACGGGCUCUGAGAGGAGAAGCCCGGAGAUGGGUACUGAGACAAGGACCCAGGCCCUAUGGGGCGCAGCAGGCGAGAAAACUUUGCAAUGUGCGAAAGCACGACAAGGUUAAUCCGAGUGAUUUCUGCUAAAGGAAUCUUUUGUUAGUUCUAAAAAUACUAGUGAAUAAGGGGUGGGCAAGUUCUGGUGUCAGCCGCCGCGGUAAAACCAGCACCUCAAGUGGUCAGGAUGAUUAUUGGGCCUAAAGCAUCCGUAGCCGGCUUUGUAAGUUUUCGGUUAAAUCCAUGUGCUCAACGCAUGGGCUGCCGAAAAUACUGCAUGGCUAGGGAGUGGGAGAGGUAGACGGUACUCAGUAGGAAGGGGUAAAAUCCUUUGAUCUAUUGAUGACCACCUGUGGCGAAGGCGGUCUACCAGAACACGUUCGACGGUGAGGGAUGAAAGCUGGGGGAGCAAACCGGAUUAGAUACCCGGGUAGUCCCAGCUGUAAACGAUGCAGACUCGAUGAUGCAUUGGCAUAAUAGCCAGUGCAGUGUCGCAGGGAAGCCGUUAAGUCUGCCGCCUGGGAAGUACGUACGCAAGUAUGAAACUUAAAGGAAUUGGCGGGGGAGCACCACAAGGGGUGAAGCCUGCGGUUCAAU
This 899-nucleotide ribosomal RNA is filed under the name uncultured archaeon. RNAcentral describes it as "bacterial SSU rRNA". It matches the Rfam family "Archaeal small subunit ribosomal RNA", at positions 1 to 906 of the family's 1478-position model. The record is from RNAcentral.